AUUGAACGCUGGCGGCAUGCCUUACACAUGCAAGUCGAACGGCAGCACGGGAGCAAUCCUGGUGGCGAGCGGCGAACGGGUGAGUAAUAUAUCGGAACGUGCCCAGUCGUGGGGGAUAACGUAGCGAAAGCUACGCUAAUACCGCAUACGAUCUAUGGAUGAAAGCGGGGGAUCGCAAGACCUCGCGCGAUUGGAGCGGCCGAUAUCAGAUUAGGUAGUUGGUGAGGUAAAGGCUCACCAAGCCGACGAUCUGUAGCUGGUCUGAGAGGACGACCAGCCACACUGGGACUGAGACACGGCCCAGACUCCUACGGGAGGCAGCAGUGGGGAAUUUUGGACAAUGGGCGCAAGCCUGAUCCAGCAAUGCCGCGUGCAGGAUGAAGGCCUCGGUUGUAAC
RNAcentral lists this ribosomal RNA (397 nucleotides) under uncultured bacterium. RNAcentral describes it as "bacterial SSU rRNA". It matches the Rfam family "Bacterial small subunit ribosomal RNA", at positions 30 to 429 of the family's 1533-position model. The record is from RNAcentral.